RNAcentral lists this long non-coding RNA (244 nucleotides) under Mytilus galloprovincialis (Mediterranean mussel). The record is from RNAcentral. Lineage: Eukaryota; Metazoa; Mollusca; Bivalvia; Mytilida; Mytilidae.
AAUAAUAUGGGAUAAUCAGUAUGUAAUUUUGUAAGUACAAAUGAUUCAUAGAACUUCAUGUUUUAAUGAAAUAAUUAAUGUUAUCAUCAUACAUAAUUAAGUAAGCAACUAUAUAUACAUGUAUGUGUUACUGAAAAACUUAAGCCAUUAUAAGUUUGAAUUUGUAACUGAUGUACUGCACCAUCAUGAUCAUGUUUAUUAAGAUUAAGUUAAAUUCUGUAAUGCAAUUAUUACCUAGCUUUAU